ACCAGACUCCUACGGGAGGCAGCAGUGGGGAAUAUUGCACAAUGGGGGAAACCCUGAUGCAGCAACGCCGCGUGAGUGAAGAAGUCAUUCGUGAUGUAAAGCUCUAUCAGCAGGGAAGAAAAUGACGGUACCUGAGUAAGAAGCCCCGGCUAACUACGUGCCAGCAGCCGCGGUAAUACGUAGGGGGCAAGCGUUAUCCGGAUUUACUGGGUGUAAAGGGAGCGUAGACGGCCAGACAAGUCUGAAGUGAAAAUCCAGCGCUUAACGUUGGAAGUGCUUUGGAAACUGUAUAGCUGGAGUGCAGGAGAGGUAAGUGGAAUUCCUAGUGUAGCGGUGAAAUGCGUAGAUAUUAGGAGGAACACCAGUGGCGGAGGCGGCUUACUGGACUGUAACUGACGUUGAGGCUCGAAAGCGUGGGGAGCAAACAGGAUUAGAUACCCGCGUAGC
This 447-nucleotide ribosomal RNA is filed under the name uncultured bacterium. RNAcentral describes it as "bacterial SSU rRNA". It matches the Rfam family "Bacterial small subunit ribosomal RNA", at positions 330 to 794 of the family's 1533-position model. The record is from RNAcentral.